This 245-nucleotide ribosomal RNA is filed under the name uncultured bacterium. RNAcentral describes it as "partial 16S ribosomal RNA". It matches the Rfam family "Bacterial small subunit ribosomal RNA", at positions 524 to 768 of the family's 1533-position model. The record is from RNAcentral.
UACAGAGGUCCCAAGCGUUGUUCGGAUUCACUGGGCGUAAAGGGUGCGUAGGCGGUCGGGCAAGUCUGACGUGAAAUACUGGAGCUCAACUCCGGAACUGCGUCGGAAACUACUCGGCUUGAGGAUUGGAAGGGGGACUGGAAUUCUCGGUGUAGCAGUGAAAUGCGUAGAUAUCGAGAGGAACACCUGUGGCGAAGGCGAGUCCCUGGACAAUUCCUGACGCUGAGGCACGAAAGCUAGGGGAG